This is a non-coding RNA of Mycoemilia scoparia, 72 nucleotides long. The record is from the annotation of a GenBank genome assembly. Lineage: Eukaryota; Fungi; Kickxellomycota; Kickxellomycetes; Kickxellales; Kickxellaceae.
GGUCCAGUGGCCUAAUCGAAAGGCGCCAGUUUCCGGAGCUGGAGAUUGCGAGUUCAAGUCUCGUCUGGAUCG